This 313-nucleotide ribosomal RNA is filed under the name uncultured Oscillospira sp. Its description in RNAcentral is "partial 16S ribosomal RNA". Lineage: Bacteria; Bacillati; Bacillota; Clostridia; Eubacteriales; Oscillospiraceae. The record is from RNAcentral.
GGAGUCUGGGCCGUGUCUCAGUCCCAAUGUGGCCGGCCAACCUCUCAGUCCGGCUACUGAUCGUCGCCUUGGUGAGCCGUUACCUCACCAACCAGCUAAUCAGACGCGAGGCCAUCUCAGAGCAAUAAAUCUUUGGCAGUCAGAGCCAUGCGACCCAACUGCAUUAUGCGGUAUUAGCGGCCGUUUCCAGCCGUUAUUCCCCACUCCAAGGCAGGUUCCUCACGCGUUACUCACCCGUCCGCCACUAAGAACCGUCCCGAAGGGCGAUUCUCCGUUCGACUUGCAUGUGUUAAGCACGCCGCCAGCGUUCAUC